RNAcentral lists this ribosomal RNA (1070 nucleotides) under Calonarius verrucisporus. Its description in RNAcentral is "eukaryotic LSU rRNA". The stretch from base 110 to 1070 matches the Rfam family "Eukaryotic large subunit ribosomal RNA", at positions 1 to 946 of the family's 3401-position model. Lineage: Eukaryota; Fungi; Basidiomycota; Agaricomycetes; Agaricales; Cortinariaceae. The record is from RNAcentral.
AACAUUUUGCCAACUGUUCAUUGGUGUGAUAAUUAUCUACGCUAUUGACGUGAAGCAAGGUUCAGCUACUAACAGUCCAUUGACUUGGACAAGCCUAUCUUUAUUAAUGUGACCUCAAAUCAGGUAGGACUACCCGCUGAACUUAAGCAUAUCAAUAAGCGGAGGAAAAGAAACUAACAAGGAUUCCCCUAGUAACUGCGAGUGAAGCGGGAAAAGCUCAAAUUUAAAAUCUGGCAGUCUUUGGCUGUCUGAGUUGUAAUCUAGAGAAGCAUUAUCCGCGCUGGACCGUGUACAAGUCUCCUGGAAUGGAGCGUCAUAGAGGGUGAGAAUCCCGUCUUUGACACGGACUGCCAGGGCUUUGUGAUGUGCUCUCAAAGAGUCGAGUUGUUUGGGAAUGCAGCUCAAAAUGGGUGGUAAAUUCCAUCUAAAGCUAAAUAUUGGCGAGAGACCGAUAGCGAACAAGUACCGUGAGGGAAAGAUGAAAAGAACUUUGGAAAGAGAGUUAAACAGUACGUGAAAUUGCUGAAAGGGAAACGCUUGAAGUCAGUCGCGUUGUCCAGGGAUCAAUCUUGCUUUUGCUUGGUGUACUUUCUGGUUAACGGGUCAGCAUCAAUUUUGACUAUUGGAAAAAGAUCAAGGGAAUGUGGCAUCUUUGGAUGUGUUAUAGCCCUUGGUUGCAUACAAUGGUUGGGAUUGAGGAACUCAGCACGCCGCAAGGCCGAGUUUUUUUAACUACGUACGUGCUUAGGAUGCUGGCAUAAUGGCUUUAAUCGACCCGUCUUGAAACACGGACCAAGGAGUCUAACAUGCCUGCGAGUGUUUGGGUGGAAAACCCGAGCGCGCAAUGAAAGUGAAAGUUGAGAUCCCUGUCGUGGGGAGCAUCGACGCCCGGACUUGACCUUUUGUGACGGUUCCGCGGUAGAGCAUGUAUGUUGGGACCCGAAAGAUGGUGAACUAUGCCUGAAUAGGGUGAAGCCAGAGGAAACUCUGGUGGAGGCUCGUAGCGAUUCUGACGUGCAAAUCGAUCGUCAAAUUUGGGUAUAGGGGCGAAAGACUAAUCGAACCAUCUA